AUUUAAAUAGUUUAAUUAAAAUAUAGAUUUGUGGGGUCUAGGAUGUAAUUUAUUACUUUAAAUU
This 64-nucleotide transfer RNA is filed under the name Silvanus unidentatus. RNAcentral's name for it is "tRNA-His". The record is from RNAcentral. Lineage: Eukaryota; Metazoa; Arthropoda; Insecta; Coleoptera; Silvanidae.